This 533-nucleotide ribosomal RNA is filed under the name Triticum aestivum (bread wheat). RNAcentral describes it as "partial small subunit ribosomal RNA". Lineage: Eukaryota; Viridiplantae; Streptophyta; Magnoliopsida; Poales; Poaceae. The record is from RNAcentral.
CCCUCGUCCACUUCCCUGGCAUAGCCGCCGCUCGUCCUCCUCUCCCCCUCGUUCCUCACGACCGCUGAUGUGCCUCCCUCCUCCUUCCCAUGGAAUCUCCAUCGGCCCUUCCUCGUGCUCAAGAUGUGGAGGGGCAACAGGUGACGGUGGAGGAGAAGAUCCACGACCAGCUGCCGCCGGUCAUCCUCCUACCGCGCCGACCCGCGUAUCCUCUCCCUCUCCUCGCGCCGCCGCCGGCCCCCGAUCCCGUGCCUCCAGCCCUGGUUCGAGUGCGCGGCGCCCUUCGGCGUCGACGAUCGACAGGGCGAGAUGGCGCCCGCCGCCAGUCCCCAAUCCCGCGCCUCCCGCCCCUGCUUCGCGCAUGCGACGAAACAACUGUUGGUGUGGUAGCGGCCUUCGGCGACGAGGAGGCCCAGGGCGACACGACCUGCGGUGGCGUUGGUGCUCCCCAGUGCAACCACUCCGAUGACUGCCAGAUCCGUUGUUCUUGUGGUCGUUGGGCUGGAUUGGUUGUCGCACUCAUCGGUCUAUGG